This is a long non-coding RNA of Hemiscyllium ocellatum (epaulette shark), 839 nucleotides long. RefSeq lists it as uncharacterized. The transcript is spliced from 5 exons. The record is from RefSeq and is a predicted model, not a curated record. Lineage: Eukaryota; Metazoa; Chordata; Chondrichthyes; Orectolobiformes; Hemiscylliidae.
GAUGAUUGAUGUCAGCGGCGGACCAAUGGAAGGACAGGGGCGGGACUGGAGGACCUGGCGGGGCAGUUGGGCCUCCAACCAAUCAGAGUGAAUGAGAGGCGGGACUUGGCUAUACCACGUGAUCAUCCUCGUGGACAGCGCGAUAGUGUAGGCGGAGAGCUGUCGGAUGAGGCUGUCACUGGCUCGGCCAGCAUUUAUUGCUGCGUUUACCCAGAGGGCAGUUAAGAGUCAACUGCGUUGCUAUAGGUCUGGAGUCCCAUGCAGACCAGACCAGAUACCAGUGAUUAAUGCCAAAGCCCCAUUGCCUGUGGAGAAGGUGAUGUUUGACGUCCUGUACAGCUGCAAUUCGUGUGGUGAAGGUGCUCCCACAAUGUGGUUGGGUCACCGUUCAGCCUCUGACGGUCCAGGGAAAACAGCCUAUCCAUCCCUGGCAACAUCCUGGACUUCUUUUCUGACCCUUUUCAAGUUUGAGAACAGCCAUCUGAUAGGAAGGAGACCAGAAUUGCAUGGAAUAUUACGAAGUCGCCGAAUCAAUGUCCUGUACAGCCGCAAUAUGACCUCCCAACCCCUACACUCAAUGCUCUGACCAAUAAAGGCAAGCAGACCAACUGCCGCCUUCACUAAUCUAUCUACUUGCUUCUCUACUUUCAAGGAACUGUGAACCUGCACUCCAAGGACUCUUUGUUUAGCAGCACUCCCCUGGAACUUACUAUAAACUGGUGCUUAAUGGUGAAGAUUUGCAGACUGAAAUCUCAAACUCCUGUGCAGAUUGUGAUUAAGUUAACCAGCAUUUGAAGAACCAAAGAUGGAGAAUAACUUGGGCAAAAUCCAGCAACCCU